GAAGGUGGCCUGUGAGGGUUGCUGGAGGUAUCAGAAGUGCGAAUGCUGACAUAAGUAACGAUAAAGCGGGUGAAAAGCCCGCUCGCCGGAAGACCAAGGGUUCCUGUCCAACGUUAAUCGGGGCAGGGUGAGUCGACCCCUAAGGCGAGGCCGAAAGGCGUAGUCGAUGGGAAACGGGUUAAUAUUCCCGUACUUGGUGUUACUGCGAAGGGGGGACGGAGAAGGCUAUGUUGGCCGGGCGACGGUUGUCCCGGUUUAAGCGUGUAGGCUGGUUUUCCAGGCAAAUCCGGAAAAUCAAGGCUGAGGCGUGACGACGAGGCACUACGGUGCUGAAGCAACAAAUGCCCUGCUUCCAGGAAAAGCCUCUAAGCAUCAGGUAACACGAAAUCGUACCCCAAACCGACACAGGUGGUCAGGUAGAGAAUACCAAGGCGCUUGAGAGAACUCGGGUGAAGGAACUAGGCAAAAUGGUGCCGUAACUUCGGGAGAAGGCACGCUGACACGUAGGUGAAGUGAUUUACUCAUGGAGCUGAAGUCAGUCGAAGAUACCAGCUGGCUGCAACUGUUUAUUAAAAACACAGCACUGUGCAAACACGAAAGUGGACGUAUACGGUGUGACGCCUGCCCGGUGCCGGAAGGUUAAUUGAUGGGGUCAGCGCAAGCGAAGCUCCUGAUCGAAGCCCCGGUAAACGGCGGCCGUAACUAUAACGGUCCUAAGGUAGCGAAAUUCCUUGUCGGGUAAGUUCCGACCUGCACGAAUGGCGUAAUGAUGGCCAGGCUGUCUCCACCCGAGACUCAGUGAAAUUGAACUCGCUGUGAAGAUGCAGUGUACCCGCGGCAAGACGGAAAGACCCCGUGAACCUUUACUAUAGCUUGACACUGAACAUUGAGCCUUGAUGUGUAG
Molecule: ribosomal RNA, 904 nt
Filed under: Salmonella enterica subsp. enterica serovar Thompson
Lineage: Bacteria; Pseudomonadati; Pseudomonadota; Gammaproteobacteria; Enterobacterales; Enterobacteriaceae
Also listed under: 1 other name
Description: partial 23S ribosomal RNA
Rfam family: Bacterial large subunit ribosomal RNA
Source: RNAcentral